GGCUAUAGCCCAGUUGGUAUGUGCGUGAUGUUUGUGUCGUUGAGGUUGCGAGUUCGAAUCCGACUCGCUGCCA
Molecule: transfer RNA, 73 nt
Filed under: Helianthus annuus (common sunflower)
Lineage: Eukaryota; Viridiplantae; Streptophyta; Magnoliopsida; Asterales; Asteraceae
Description: tRNA HanXRQr2_Chr10g0419461
Source: RNAcentral